RNAcentral lists this non-coding RNA (75 nucleotides) under Mycobacterium heidelbergense. Its description in RNAcentral is "Fluoride sequence". It matches the Rfam family "Fluoride riboswitch aptamer (crcB RNA motif)". Lineage: Bacteria; Bacillati; Actinomycetota; Actinomycetes; Mycobacteriales; Mycobacteriaceae. The record is from Rfam by way of RNAcentral.
UGGUCGCGAGGCGAUGGAUCUCCGCCUGGGUAAUCCGCCCAAACCGCCGGCCCGGCUGAUGGCUCCUGUGGUGCU